AUAACGAACGAGACUCUAGCCUGCUAAAUAGGCGACGGAUUUUCACGGGCCGCGGCGACCCCGCGGUCCUCAAACUGGCCCGGGAUGGCCGUGCUGGAUCAGGCCGUGCCGGUCGUCGGGGCAACUCGGCGGUCGGCGCGGUCCCAGUCGGUCGCCCGGGUCGCGUCCGUCGCGUCUCUUCUUAGAGGGACAAGCGGCGUCCAGCCGCGUGACAGUGAGCAAUAACAGGUCUGUGAUGCCCUUAGAUGUCCUGGGCCGCACGCGCGCUACACUGAAGGAAUCAGCGUGUUUCACCGUCCCUGUCCGAAAGGACCGGGUAACCGCUGAACCUCCUUCGUGGUUGGGAUUGGGGACUGCAAUGAUCCCCAUGAACCAGGAAUCCCUAGUAGGCGCGGGUCACUAGCCCGCGUCGAUUACGUCCCUGCCCUUUGUACACACCGCCCGUCGCUACUACCGAUUGAAUGAUUUAGUGAGGACUUCGGACGGGCUCGCCGGGGACUGGCUGGUCGGAGGCAACUCCGGCCCGACGGUCCUACUCACGGCGAGACUGAAAGAUGUUCGAACUUGAUCCUUUAGAGGAAGUAAAAGU
RNAcentral lists this ribosomal RNA (589 nucleotides) under Moina cf. mukhamedievi WM-2019. RNAcentral's name for it is "bacterial SSU rRNA". It matches the Rfam family "Eukaryotic small subunit ribosomal RNA", at positions 1328 to 1789 of the family's 1831-position model. The record is from RNAcentral. Lineage: Eukaryota; Metazoa; Arthropoda; Branchiopoda; Diplostraca; Moinidae.